UCCCUUCUCUCUGUCUCUGUUUGUCUCUUACUCUUUUUGUCUCUAUCACCACUCUUCCUUUAUACCCUCAUUCUCACCUCACCACCACCCCCAAUCUCCCUCCAGCCCCACUGCCCCCCGUCCCUGCACCUUGUACCUUGGUGGGUCCAGGACUGCCCACCCCUCCCAUGGCAGGGGCCCAGCCCCGCCACCCCCAGUUAUCACUCUCCAGACAGAGAUAAAGUUUAUCUCGAGGCUGGGGGAUAUGAAAGCUCCUUAUCAGCUGCCCCACUAGAGUAAGUGCUGCCCCAACGGGCAGCAGGCAGCAGGCCGGCACCCUCAACUCUCCUUCCGCCCAGCCCCUCACCCCAGAAUGGCAGCUCCACAAACAUAGAUGUGCUUAUCUCUUCUGUUCAACACUGUGUCUCCAAUGCCUGGAACAGGGCCAAGCACGCAGUAGGUGCUCAAUGAGCUGAGCCUCAGUUGAGAUGAGUCUGAAUGUACCAGAUCCAAAGGUAGAAAGUGCCACAUUCCCCGGGGAUGAGACCAGCUAAGGCGCUCCAGGACGAGCAGCUUUCUCAAAAGAGGAUGGAAGUCUGACUCACCGCGAGGUGCUGGACCAUUUCCUUCAAAGGCUGUGAUCAAGCAUAUAUCCAGGGAGCCAGGGACUGGGACCUUACUGAGGACUGAGGACUGUAGCCCAGGAGACAGCCUCGCAGAUAGCUCUCAGGAACUGCCCCAAAGAGGGAAGGCUUCUAUCUUUCAACAAAGUCCUCUUCAAAGUCUCCUUCAGGGUGCCAGGGACCCCUGGAAUUCUUCUAGCAAACCUCAAGGUCAGCGCUGUUUCCUGGCCCCUCCCCGCCUCACCCCACCCCAUCCAGAUGGCCCUGGCUGAACUGGCUCCCCGGAACCGCCCCGAGGGAGCCGGGAGCCGAGUGAAGCAGCAGCCCACUCCUGGCAGACGUGCUGAUGGCAGACUGUGUGUUAGAACAGGGACUUUCCGUGUCCCUCUGCUGCCCUCUGCUUGUCUUAGAAAGAGGAAGGAAGAGAGGACGGGAAAAUGGAUGAAAGCACACCGGGAUAGCCCGCAUGAAAGGGAAGCAGGUUACCAAGCCCGGCUGGGAACGCCCAGCCUUGGUGCCAAUACCAGUGCCCCAGACCCCCAUGGGCCACGCUGUUCACCUGCUUCUCCGAAAUCCUGCUCCACAUCCUGGCUGGCAGCCUGGAGGGCAGAUGGCGCAGCAUGGUAGGCUUCCUUGCCCCCGGCCUCUGGACAACCCUCUGGCUCAGUGCCUGGAGAUCAAGGGGCAGGAAUGGGAGGGCCACGGACCGGGGACUGCUGGUGUUGACCGAGGUAGAUGGG
Molecule: long non-coding RNA, 1342 nt
Organism: Aethalodelphis obliquidens (Pacific white-sided dolphin)
Lineage: Eukaryota; Metazoa; Chordata; Mammalia; Artiodactyla; Delphinidae
Exons: 6
Source: RefSeq, a predicted model, not a curated record